This 476-nucleotide ribosomal RNA is filed under the name uncultured bacterium. Its description in RNAcentral is "bacterial SSU rRNA". It matches the Rfam family "Bacterial small subunit ribosomal RNA", at positions 29 to 524 of the family's 1533-position model. The record is from RNAcentral.
AACGAACGCUGGCGGCAGGCCUAACACAUGCAAGUCGAACGCUGUAGCAAUACAGAGUGGCAGACGGGUGAGUAACGCGUGGGAACCUUCCCAGUGGUGCGGAAUAGCUCAGGGAAACUUGAGGUAAUACCGCAUAAGCCCCUAGGGGGAAAGAUUUAUCGCCAUUGGAUGGGCCCGCGUCGGAUUAGCUAGUUGGUAGGGUAACGGCCUACCAAGGCGACGAUCCGUAGCUGGUCUGAGAGGACGAUCAGCCACACUGGGACUGAGACACGGCCCAGACUCCUACGGGAGGCAGCAGUGGGGAAUAUUGGACAAUGGGCGAAAGCCUGAUCCAGCAAUGCCGCGUGUGUGAAGAAGGCCUGCGGGUUGUAAAGCACUUUCAGUGGGGAAGGAAAGACGCAGCGCUAACAUCGCUGCGUCUUGACGUUACCUAAAGAAGAAGCGCCGGCUAACUCCGUGCCAGCCGCCGCCGUAAU